CACUCCUGCGGGAGGCAGCAGUGGGGAAUAUUGGACAAUGGGCGCAAGCCUGAUCCAGCCAUGCCGCGUGAGUGAUGAAGGCCCUAGGGUUGUAAAGCUCUUUCACCGGUGAAGAUAAUGACGGUAACCGGAGAAGAAGCCCCGGCUAACUUCGUGCCAGCAGCCGCGGUAAUACGAAGGGGGCUAGCGUUGUUCGGAUUUACUGGGCGUAAAGCGCACGUAGGCGGACUAUUAAGUCAGGGGUGAAAUCCCGGGGCUCAACCCCGGAACUGCCUUUGAUACUGGUAGUCUUGAGUUCGAGAGAGGUGAGUGGAAUUCCGAGUGUAGAGGUGAAAUUCGUAGAUAUUCGGAGGAACACCAGUGGCGAAGGCGGCUCACUGGCUCGAUACUGACGCUGAGGUGCGAAAGCGUGGGGAGCAAACAGGAUUAGAUACCCUAGUAGUCCCAUGAU
RNAcentral lists this ribosomal RNA (451 nucleotides) under uncultured organism. RNAcentral's name for it is "partial 16S ribosomal RNA". It matches the Rfam family "Bacterial small subunit ribosomal RNA", at positions 334 to 801 of the family's 1533-position model. The record is from RNAcentral.